This is a non-coding RNA of Poecilia reticulata (guppy), 340 nucleotides long. Lineage: Eukaryota; Metazoa; Chordata; Actinopteri; Cyprinodontiformes; Poeciliidae. The record is from RefSeq and is a predicted model, not a curated record.
CCAUCUUGUGGGGACACAGCUCAGCAUGAGGCAGACUCCCACAGAGAAAUAAUUUCACAUUUAAGGCAAACUGGAUCACAGGUAGGAGACACAGAAAACCUGACAAAUAAUCAACAAACCUGCUCACAUGACAUCAAUGCUGUGCUGAGAGAGAUGAGCGCAUCGUUGGCUGGACUGAAGGUUGAUAUGGAGUACGUAAAGAAAGAUAAUGAAGCUAAGGUGCUACAACUUCAGUUCCAGAAGGAGGAGAUGGAGAAGCUGAAACAACAGCAACAAGUCAAGGAAAGAGAGUUGGAGGUCCAGAAGAAAAAGCUGGACAAGCUAAAACAACAGCACCAAG